RNAcentral lists this ribosomal RNA (253 nucleotides) under uncultured bacterium. RNAcentral's name for it is "partial 16S ribosomal RNA". It matches the Rfam family "Bacterial small subunit ribosomal RNA", at positions 524 to 776 of the family's 1533-position model. The record is from RNAcentral.
UACGUAGGGUGCAAGCGUUAAUCGGAAUUACUGGGCGUAAAGCGUGCGCGGGCGGUUGUGUAAGACAGAUGUGAAAUCCCCGGGCUCAACCUGGGAACUGCAUUUGUGACUGCAUCGCUGGAGUGCGGCAGAGGGGGAUGGAAUUCCGCGUGUAGCAGUGAAAUGCGUAGAUAUGCGGAGGAACACCGAUGGCGAAGGCAAUCCCCUGGGCCUGCACUGACGCUCAUGCACGAAAGCGUGGGGAGCAAACAGG